This 125-nucleotide microRNA precursor is filed under the name Arabidopsis lyrata. RNAcentral's name for it is "miR4250 stem-loop (aly-MIR4250)". Lineage: Eukaryota; Viridiplantae; Streptophyta; Magnoliopsida; Brassicales; Brassicaceae. The record is from miRBase by way of RNAcentral.
CGUUGCUUCAUGAUCAGUCCUCCAAAGGCACAAGAACAUCAAAUAGGUGACACCAAGAUGUGUUUGUUUGGUUUCACCUAUUUGAUGUUCUUGCCCUUUAGGAGGAUUGAUCUUGCCACAACCCU